AGGAAAAGAAACCAACAGGGAUUGCCUCAGUAACGGCGAGUGAAGCGGCAAAAGCUCAAAUUUUAAAGCUGGCACCUCCGGUGUCCGCGUUGUAAUUUUGUGAGGCAUCUCCGGGUGGGGCGCCGGCCUAAGUUCCUUGGAACAGGACGUCAUAGAGGGUGAGAAUCCCGUGCUUGGCUGGCUGUCCCCGUCCAUGUGAGGUGUCUUCGACGAGUCGAGUUGUUUGGGAAUGCAGCUCAAAAUGGGUGGUAAAUUUCAUCUAAAGCUAAAUAUUGGUGGGAGACCGAUAGCGCACAAGUAGAGUGAUCGAAAGAUGAAAAGCACUUUGAAAAUAGAGUUAAAAAGUACGUGAAAUUGUUGAAAGGGAAGCGCUUGAGACCAGACUUCGGUGGGGAGUGAUCAGCCGUCCUUCUGGGCGGUGCACUUGCCCCCCUCCGGGCCAGCAUCGGUUGGGACGGCGGGAUAAAGGUCCCGGGAAUGUGGCUCCUCUCGGGGAGUGUUAUAGCCCGGGUGAAUGCCGCCAGCCCCGACCGAGGACCGCGCCUUCGGGCUAGGAUGCUUGGCAUAAUGGUCUUCAGCGACCCGUCUU
RNAcentral lists this ribosomal RNA (589 nucleotides) under Morchella americana. RNAcentral's name for it is "eukaryotic LSU rRNA". It matches the Rfam family "Eukaryotic large subunit ribosomal RNA", at positions 54 to 655 of the family's 3401-position model. Lineage: Eukaryota; Fungi; Ascomycota; Pezizomycetes; Pezizales; Morchellaceae. The record is from RNAcentral.